UACGUAGGGUGCGAGCGUUGUCCGGAAUUAUUGGGCGUAAAGAGCUCGUAGGCGGUGUGUCACGUCGGCCGUGAAAACCUGCAGCUUAACUGUGGGCGUGCGGUCGAUACGGGCAUCACUGGAGUUCGGCAGGGGAGACUGGAAUUCCUGGUGUAGCGGUGAAAUGCGCAGAUAGUCAGGAGGAACACCGGUGGCGAAGGCGGGUCUCUGGGC
RNAcentral lists this ribosomal RNA (213 nucleotides) under uncultured bacterium. RNAcentral's name for it is "partial 16S ribosomal RNA". It matches the Rfam family "Bacterial small subunit ribosomal RNA", at positions 524 to 734 of the family's 1533-position model. The record is from RNAcentral.